RNAcentral lists this transfer RNA (72 nucleotides) under bacterium. RNAcentral describes it as "tRNA-Glu". It matches the Rfam family "tRNA". Rfam says of the family: Transfer RNA (tRNA) molecules are approximately 80 nucleotides in length. Their secondary structure includes four short double-helical elements and three loops (D, anti-codon, and T loops). Further hydrogen bonds mediate the characteristic L-shaped molecular structure. tRNAs have two regions of fundamental functional importance: the anti-codon, which is responsible for specific mRNA codon recognition, and the 3' end, to which the tRNAs corresponding amino acid is attached (by aminoacyl-tRNA synthetases). tRNAs cope with the degeneracy of the genetic code in two manners: having more than one tRNA (with a specific anti-codon) for a particular amino acid; and 'wobble' base-pairing, i.e. permitting non-standard base-pairing at the 3rd anti-codon position. The record is from RNAcentral.
GACCCCGUAGUCUAACGGUUAGGACACGGGCCUUUCAAGCCCGGAAUGCGGGUUCGAUUCCCGUCGGGGUCA